UUUCCCUACGGGACGCAGCAGUGGGGAAUAUUGCACAAUGGGCGCAAGCCUGAUGCAGCCAUGCCGCGUGUAUGAAGAAGGCCUUCGGGUUGUAAAGUACUUUCAGCGGGGAGGAAGGGAGUAAAGUUAAUACCUUUGCUCAUUGACGUUACCCGCAGAAGAAGCACCGGCUAACCCCGUGCCAGCAGCCGCGGUAAUACGGAGGGUGCAAGCGUUAAUCGGAAUUACUGGGCGUAAAGCGCACGCAGGCGGGUUGGUAAGUCAGAUGUGAAAUCCCCGGGGUCAACCUGGGAACUGCA
This 299-nucleotide ribosomal RNA is filed under the name uncultured bacterium. RNAcentral's name for it is "partial 16S ribosomal RNA". It matches the Rfam family "Bacterial small subunit ribosomal RNA", at positions 334 to 625 of the family's 1533-position model. The record is from RNAcentral.